CUGCAAGUCACUAUUUGUGCUACAGAAAGUAAUGAAAAUCGAACAAAAUAUAAAGAAGCAGUGCAGAAAGUUUUUGACAGCCUUCUCCAAUCAAAAGAAGUCACAGCUGUUGGCCUGAUGCAGACUUCAUCCAUGUUGAUUAAUAGAGUGAAGGUAUUCCUUAAAGCACUAAGCUGGAUCAUGUUUUUUGUUUCUGGAAGCUCUUUAUGACCACAUGACAGAGGUAAGUGUAGGGGCACACUUUUCUGGAAAGCAG
This 256-nucleotide long non-coding RNA is filed under the name Dromaius novaehollandiae (emu). RNAcentral describes it as "lncRNA (ENSDNVG00000014792.1)". Lineage: Eukaryota; Metazoa; Chordata; Aves; Casuariiformes; Dromaiidae. The record is from RNAcentral.